This 497-nucleotide ribosomal RNA is filed under the name uncultured bacterium. RNAcentral's name for it is "partial 16S ribosomal RNA". It matches the Rfam family "Bacterial small subunit ribosomal RNA", at positions 28 to 507 of the family's 1533-position model. The record is from RNAcentral.
GAUGAACGCUGGCGGCGUGCCUAAUACAUGCAAGUCGAGCGAACGGACGAGAAGCUUGCUUCUCUGAUGUUAGCGGCGGACGGGUGAGUAACACGUGGAUAACCUACCUAUAAGACUGGGAUAACUUCGGGAAACCGGAGCUAAUACCGGAUAAUAUUUUGAACCGCAUGGUUCAAAAGUAAAAGACGGUCUUGCUGUCACUUAUAGAUGGAUCCGCGCUGCAUUAGCUAGUUGGUAAGGUAACGGCUUACCAAGGCAACGAUGCAUAGCCGACCUGAGAGGGUGAUAGGCGACACUGGAACUGAGACACGGUCCAGGGUCCUGCGGUAGGCAGCAGUAGGGAAUCGGCCGCAAUGGGCGAAAGCCUGACGGAGCAACGCGGCGUGAGUGAUGAAGGUCUUCGGAUCGUAAAACUCUGUUAUGAGGGAAGAACAUAUGUGUAAGUAACUGUGCACAGCGUGACGGUACCUAAUCAGAAAGCCACGGCUAACUACGUG